AGAGUUUGAUCCUGGCUCAGGACGAACGCUGGCGGCGUGCCUAACACAUGCAAGUCGUGCGGUCUCGCCUUAAGCGAAAGGCCUUCGGGCUUUGAAGCAAAGGCGAGAUAGCGGCGGACGGGUGAGUAACGCGUGGCUUAUCUGUCCCAGGGAGGGGGAUAACGUCUGGAAACGGGCGCUAAUACCCCAUAUGCCGAAAGGUAAAAAGGAGAGAUCCGCCCUGGGGUGAGGCCGCGUCCUAUCAGCUCGUUGGUGAGGUAACGGCCCACCAAGGCUAUGACGGGUAGCCGGCCUGAGAGGGCGGCUGGCCACACUGGGAUUGAGAUACGGCCCAGACUCCUACGGGAGGCAGCAGUGGGGAAUAUUGGGCAAUGGGGGAAACCCUGACCCAGCGACGCCGCGUGGAGGAAGGAGCCCUUCGGGGUGUAAACUCCUGUUGUAAGGGAAGAAGACAGUGACGGUACCUUACGAGGAAGCCCCGGCAAACUACGUGCCAGCAGCCGCGGUAACACGUAGGGGGCGAGCGUUGUCCGGAAUUACUGGGCGUAAAGCGCACGCAGGCGGAUGCGCGCGUCGGCUGUGAAAUGCACCGGCUCAACCGGUGCGCUGCGGUCGAUACGGCGCAUCUGGAGUGCGGGAGAGGGAAGCGGAAUUCCCGGUGUAGCGGUGAAAUGCGUAGAUAUCGGGAGGAACGCCGGUGGCGAAGGCGGCUUCCUGGCCCGCAACUGACGCUCAUGUGCGAAAGCCAGGGGAGCGAACCGGAUUAGAUACCCGGGUAGUCCUGGCCGUAAACGAUGGACGCUAGGUGUGGGCGGUUUAUCCGUCUGUGCCGAAGUUAACGCGUUAAGCGUCCCGCCUGGGGAGUACGAUCGCAAGGUUGAAACUCAAAUGAAUUGACGG
Molecule: ribosomal RNA, 900 nt
Filed under: uncultured bacterium
Lineage: Bacteria
Description: bacterial SSU rRNA
Rfam family: Bacterial small subunit ribosomal RNA
Source: RNAcentral